GCAAUAGCUGACUAGGGUUCCGAUCCGCGUUCCGAUGAAUACGGGUGACUGGUCCGAGAGUUGGCGACCUCCUUCGAGGUUACACGGCGGGAUAAAAGCCCGGGAGAA
This 108-nucleotide small RNA is filed under the name Pseudomonas sp. 8BK. RNAcentral's name for it is "ykkC-yxkD". It matches the Rfam family "Guanidine-I riboswitch aptamer". Rfam says of the family: This family represents a conserved RNA structure found upstream of the ykkC and yxkD genes in Bacillus subtilis and related genes in other bacteria. Lineage: Bacteria; Pseudomonadati; Pseudomonadota; Gammaproteobacteria; Pseudomonadales; Pseudomonadaceae. The record is from RNAcentral.